UACGGAGGAUGCGAGCGUUAUCCGGAUUUAUUGGGUUUAAAGGGUGCGUAGGCGGACUGUCAAGUCAGCGGUAAAAUUGAGAGGCUCAAUCUCUUCCCGCCGUUGAAACUGGUGGUCUUGAGUGGAUGAGAAGUACGCGGAAUGCGUGGUGUAGCGGUGAAAUGCAUAGAUAUCACGCAGAACUCCGAUUGCGAAGGCAGCGUACCGGCAUCCAACUGACGCUGAGGCACGAAAGCGUGGGGAUCAAACAGG
Molecule: ribosomal RNA, 252 nt
Filed under: uncultured bacterium
Lineage: Bacteria
Description: partial 16S ribosomal RNA
Rfam family: Bacterial small subunit ribosomal RNA
Source: RNAcentral